RNAcentral lists this small RNA (29 nucleotides) under Bombyx mori (domestic silkworm). Its description in RNAcentral is "ovarian small RNA-3619". Lineage: Eukaryota; Metazoa; Arthropoda; Insecta; Lepidoptera; Bombycidae. The record is from RNAcentral.
UGACGGUAGCGUGCGGCGCAGCCUCAAUC